This is a non-coding RNA of Helianthus annuus (common sunflower), 92 nucleotides long. The record is from Rfam. NCBI's taxonomy places the organism in Eukaryota, Viridiplantae, Streptophyta, Magnoliopsida, Asterales, Asteraceae.
ACGACCUUACUUGAACAGGAUCUGUUCUAUAGGCUCGUACCUCUGUAUUAUUGAUUCAUAAGAAGACAGAAACCCAUGCCUGGAGUCAGUUU